CCUACGGGUGGCAGCAGUGGGGAAUAUUGGACAAUGGGGGGAACCCUGAUCCAGCCAUGCCGCGUGUGUGAAGAAGGCCCUCGGGUUGUAAAGCACUUUCAGGGAGGAAGAACGCCUGGUGGUUAAUACCCAUCAGGAAAGACAUCACUCACAGAAGAAGCACCGGCUAACUCCGUGCCAGCAGCCGCGGUAAUACGGAGGGUGCGAGCGUUAAUCGGAAUUACUGGGCGUAAAGCGCGCGUAGGUGGCUUGAUAAGCCGGUUGUGAAAGCCCGGGCUCAACCUGGGAACGGCAUCCGGAACUGUCAAGCUAGAGUGCAGGAGAGGAAGGUAGAAUUCCCGGUGUAGCGGUGAAAUGCGUAGAGAUCGGGAGGAAUACCAGUGGCGAAGGCGGCCUUCUGGACUGACACUGACACUGAGGUGCGAAAGCGUGGGUAGCAAACAGGAUUAGAUACCCGGGUAGUC
RNAcentral lists this ribosomal RNA (464 nucleotides) under Vreelandella stevensii. RNAcentral describes it as "partial 16S ribosomal RNA". It matches the Rfam family "Bacterial small subunit ribosomal RNA", at positions 338 to 795 of the family's 1533-position model. Lineage: Bacteria; Pseudomonadati; Pseudomonadota; Gammaproteobacteria; Oceanospirillales; Halomonadaceae. The record is from RNAcentral.